This 1674-nucleotide long non-coding RNA is filed under the name Homo sapiens (human). RNAcentral's name for it is "HSALNT0394679". The record is from RNAcentral. Lineage: Eukaryota; Metazoa; Chordata; Mammalia; Primates; Hominidae.
CCCCACGAAUCCUACCAUGUUACUUCCCUUGCUUAAAACCUUAGUAGCUUCUCAUAUUAUGUUGCCACCCUGUUGAUUUUCCUCAUAGCUCUUAACUCACAGGAAUUAACAGUACUUGCUCUGUCCCCACUGGCGUGUAAGCUCUUUGAGGGCAGAGACCUUCUGGUCAGUGCUGUAUCAUCACACCUAGAACAUGGCCCGGCACAAAACAGGUGCUCAACAAGCACUUGUUAAGUAAACAUCUCCUACAAUACUCCUAUGAUCAUGUGGUUUUACAAAACUUAAGAGUUUUAAAAUCCAUUACAACUCUUCAACUCUAAGAUGCAUUUUCCAUCCCCUACAUUUCUACCUUUUUCCAAUCAGGACAUAGCUUACAAAUGAUAUACUUAAUGUAGUAGGGUUUUUCCACUAUUUCUCCUCAAAGGGCAUUUAAUAAAAUGAAAGUAACUUUGCAAUUGAGAAAAUAUGAUAAAAAAAUACCUUUAGGUGCAAUCUUUCAAGAGCCUAGGCACGUAAAACAUCCUGUCUACUUAAUUCUCACAACCUCUGAUGAUAGGAAUUCACAUGGCUAAUAAUGGCAGUCAGAGUUCCAACACAGACCUAUCUAGUGCCAAAGCUACAUGCAAUCUUUUUACUACAUUCCACAGUUGCUCUGUCUUACCUCUGUGUAACAGACGGAAACAAAAUCGUAUAAAACCACAGAAUUCACCUACAGUAUGAGGCAAUCCAAUUAAAGGAAAAGUCAUUCUCAGAACAGCUUUUAUUUAGUUUCAGAUUUGCAAAGGGAGACGUGACAUCAAGUUUGGAAGAAAGCUGAAUUACUGGGACUAACAGAGUGAAAAGAAUAUGGACUUUCAAGGAAUGGGGAAUAGGAAGGCCAGAAAAAUUUCCUUACUCCUUCUUCAAAGAUGAUGAAAUACAAAAUGACCCCAAAUGAAGCGGAUAGAACAAUCAGUGUUACAAGGUGUUAAAGUGUUCUUUCUUUUAAGAAACAAUGGUGACUAUGAUGACAGAAAACAUAAAAAGGUGAAGCUGCCUGUUAGUGCUCUUAUUUUGUGAAAUUUUAUUUUACUAGUUUCUGAAAUACCCAAGUGAAAGAACCUGUAUUAGAAACAAUACAAGGAUUACUAAUUUUGUAAAUAAUUAGAAUGAGAUUUGUAAAAAUAGGGAUGCUGUAUGCUAAAUAUAAUUUUUAUGAUUCAGAAGUUUACCAGGAUCUGAUAAAUGAAAUUAAGAAGCCAUCUCAUCAAAUGCAACCAAGUGAUGCUUUAAUUAAUGUCUAUAUUGAUAUAGAGAAAAUUAAAAACACUUGGCUUUCCUUCCCCCCCAAAAGAACAAAGAUCAAAUUGAAGUACAGAUGAUUUCUCUUCCAUUACAAGAGGCACAGGAGAAAAAGAAGACUCUGUAUCUCUUUUUGUUUUUACUGAUUUUCCGUAUGGGCACUGGCUUUCAGCUAAGAUGAUGCUUAUACAUACCUAACUUUUCUUUCUUUCCUUUUUAAGUUACAUUCCUGUAAGAGUGUGCUUUGAAGUAGUUUCUGAAAGUCCUAAUUUAGAAUUUUUGAUUUAAUUUAAAAACUGCUUUAUGACUGAAACAAAUGUACUUUACUUUUUAAAAAUAUCUCUAUUUUUAUCUUUAAAAAAAUAUAUAAUCAAAUAGAAUGUAUUAUACACC